Long non-coding RNA from Mustela erminea (ermine), 3320 nucleotides. RefSeq lists it as uncharacterized. The transcript is spliced from 3 exons. The record is from RefSeq and is a predicted model, not a curated record. NCBI's taxonomy places the organism in Eukaryota, Metazoa, Chordata, Mammalia, Carnivora, Mustelidae.
GGCGGGGUCCCUAACGCCUGGCGAGGGGGGUCUCUAACCCAGGACCCCAAGCUGGCCGCAAGCAAGCCCAAGGCCCAGAAUCGAGCCAGGCGUUCUUUCCAGCUGCGACGGUUGACGACCGGAAAACCGAUGACAACCUGUGGCGACCGAAGGUGGCGGUGGCGAUUGUCGCACGUCGUCGUGGUGUGCCUGGCGGUGAAGACAGCGGGAUUCGGAGUCCAGGGAUCUGAGCGUCUGGGUCUACCUCACGGAUUUCUCCUUGAGCGUAGUGGGACGAAUGAUAAAAGCCCACCUUCGGCCGCCUGCAGGCCCAACGGGAGGUGGAAGACUGGCCAGGAGCUCGAUCAGAAUGCAAGCUUCAGGAGGGCUGGGACCUUUCCUUCUUGCUCACUGCUCUCAUCUUUAUCUCUGGACAGCAUUUAUUGGCCACCAUGAACAACCCAUCCCCUGGCCUGACUGGAAGCAGGUGACACAGACCCACAAGAGCACAGGUGGAUUUCCUUGUGCAACAAAGUCGCUGGACACAAGAUUUGCACUUCGCAUAGUACUGAAAGGUUCUUAGUUAUUCUAAGUGAAAAUCAGAGCUCUGUUCAACUGAUUCUAAAAAUGAAAUCUAUGGAAAAAUAUCUCGUCUUUAAAAAUCUCCCAAAUAUGUAUACAUUGUAUACAUCUAUAGCUUAGAAUUGCAUUAUGGUUGGGUCUAAGCCUAGAUCACCUUCCGUAGAGAAACCUGUACAGAAUAAGACCUUUUCCUCCUUUCCUUCCUCCCUCCCCACCUCCCUUCCUCCCUCCCUCUCUCUGUCUUUCCUUUUCUUUCCUCCAAUACUGAACAACAAGCCAUGUGCCAGGCUUUGCUCAAGGUAGAGGUGCAGAGGUGAACAGGAUAGUCAAGUGUCCUCCUCCCCCCUCCACCUCCUGGAGUCUACAUUCUAUUGGCCGAGCUGAAAAUAAACAAAGAAACUAAGAGCAAUAAACAAAGAAACGACAGCAAUCUUUCCUUCAUGGAUCUUAUAUUAUAGUAAAGACAUGUGCCCCAACCUUAUGUUUGUUAAUGGUUAAUUUGCUAAUUAGCUAAGUAAUUAUUUCAAUAAUAAUUGAAUAAUAAUAAUAAACAUUGCCUGAGCACCCUCUAUGUACCUCUGCGAGUUGUGAGUGUAAAUAGUCUGAUAUGACUGUGUUUACCUUAAGUCGUGGCUCAGUGAAGGAGAAGGUCAAGAAGAACUAUAAAACAGCUGGAUAAGUACUGUACAAGAGGGGUACCUUGGAUAGCCAUGGAAGGAGGGGACUCCCCCAGCUCACUCAGGAAGCACCUGAAGCUUAAAUUAAUUUCUGUUCACAACGGUCUUCUAUAGCCAGAAAAUGCAAAAUGCAAAAUCUAAAGUGAAAGGUUUUUUUUUUACAAAAUCACUAUCAUAUUACCAUUAUCACACCUCUAUCAACAAUAAUUCCAUAACCAAAUUUCACUGUUCACAUUUGCCCAACUGUCUGAUAAUAUUUUUUAAAAGUUGGCUUGCUUGAAUCAAGAUCCACAGAAGGUCCACACAAUGCAUUUGGUUGCUAUGUCUCUGAAGUCUCUUUGAAUCUGGCUAUUUCAUUCCUUCUCAGUUAUUUGUUGCCAAAAGCCAAGUUGUCUUUCCUGUUGUGUGCCCAACAUUUUGCAAUAUGUUCGUUGCAUCCCCACUGUGUUAUUUAACAUGUUCUUCUGUCCCCUAUAGUUCCUGUAAAUUGUUAGCUGGGUCUAGAGACAUGAUCAGAUUCAGAUUCAAGUUUAUGGCAAAAAUAGCACAUUGGUGAUGAUGCAUACUUUCUGUUGUAUCACGCAGGAAUUCACAUAGUCUCCCUCUGGGUUAUUAAGAAGACGAGAGGUUCAGGUGUUAUCAGGCUCUAGGUUCUUUCCACUUAUGCUCAGCUUCCCACUUUUCUUGUCUUCUGCUACUAAGGACAUGAUCACAAGUUCAUUUAUUCUUCAUGAUCACAAAAUAGCUAUAAUUGCCAAAGUACCAUAGCUUCCCUCACACAUUUCUCAAAGACUGGAAGGAGAAAAGAGAAGCUGUCCCUUCCCCCAUCCUUUCUUAAGAGUAAGAAAACUUUCUCAGAAGCCUCUUGGAUAAUUUUUCCUCCUGUCCCAUCAGGUAACUGAUUUACCUGUCCAUCCCUUAACCAAUAACAAAGGGCAAAUAAAUACCCUGGAGGCUAAGAUGAACUAAAAUUCUCCCCAGGGGCUAAAGAAGGGCCCACCUUCCUCUAAAACAGACAGACAUCAGGUAUAUGAACCAAAUCUGCGUUCAGUUACCAAGGAAGAAGGAGAGGCAUGAGUAGCCAGUUGUGUCUGCUAUACCAUUCAAUAGAGGAUCAGCCUUGCAUAACUUCAUGCUGUGUAAUGGGAAGGGCUCUCUGCUCAACUAACAAAACGUACAUCUUGUCCGUGAAUACCUUCACUCCAGGUCCUUGCCUUGCGGGAGCACAUGACCUCCAUGCUCUCCUGUUUGAUUCCAUCAACAGUUCACUUGUGAGAAAUAAUAUUCACUGAGGAUGGCAAAAACUUAGCACUCCACUCAUCACUCAAGAUGGAAUCUUCCAAACUUGGUUCCCUGGUUGAGUUUGAUGGGUGUAAAGAAAACCCAUGUCCCCCGCCCUGCAAAAACUUCUCUCCCUUCUUGUUCAUGAGAAGAACUGAUUUACCAGAGUGAAAUGGUUUACUCUCAGGAGCCAGGGCUCUUCAUUCUCAGGAACUAUACAUUGAACAAAUGAGUGAAUGUCUGCUUUUAAAAUAUAUAAAUGACUUGGAAGAAAAUAUUUACAUACUUAAUGCAAUUCUAAGAGAAAUUCUAAUGUGGUUUUAUUUCAUCUGGAAGUGUAAAUCAAUGCAACGGGUAAGAAAGUGUUUUAUCUUUUCAAAAAAAUUAUGUUUGUCUUUGUUAAAUAAUGAGGUAACAUGUAUAGCUGUAUAACUCAAAUUAUAUGAAAAUUAAUUAUCUCUUUUCUCUCCUAUAAUCCUAUUGUGAUAACAUACUAAUGAUUUGGUAUAUGUGAUUCCAUACCUUUCCCUAGGCUCAAACAUUAAUAACUGGAUAAGAACAUUUCAGUUUGGUUGUGCUGUAAUUUCUGCAAUCUCCUUUUGAAUGUGAUUUGGGUUGUUCCUAGGUUGUUGGAUUUUUUUGCCAUCAAUUAUGUUACAAUAGACCAUCCCUGCACAUAUGUUCUUAAGUACUGCCACUUUUAUUUCUAUCAAAUAGAUUGUUAUGAAGAGCAAUGUGAGGUCCUUUAAUAUUUUAAUGACUUUGAAGGAUUGCUUUCCCCAAAAGUUUAACAGUUCGCAC